RNAcentral lists this long non-coding RNA (1198 nucleotides) under Salmo salar (Atlantic salmon). RNAcentral describes it as "lncRNA (ENSSSAG00000092474.1)". Lineage: Eukaryota; Metazoa; Chordata; Actinopteri; Salmoniformes; Salmonidae. The record is from RNAcentral.
GCUGGGUUUCCGUUAUGACGGAGCGGUAAACAGGGAAAAGGGUCAGUGGUCCUGGUGUUGGAGCAUUCGGUCUACAGUAGCAUCUUCCCUCGGCGGGGCACACACACACAGGAGCUCUUCGUUCUCUCUCAGUUCAGUUCUCAGUUCGUUCAGUCCAAAGAGAUAAAGUUUGUUACGGUACUAGGGUUCAAUCCAAUGUUUGGGCCCGUUUUGGGAGAGAUAACACUCAGCGGUGUGUUGUUCUGCAAAGUUUCUCUGAUUCUUCUGUCUGAGCUGGAUAAAGCUUCCUUGAUCUGUAUUUUGGUUCCACAGAGAUACGAUCGUUCAACCCACCUGUGUGGCUGCGCCUAGCGGUAUUUGAACUUAUUUCUAGACAAUGACCCAACACACCUCCAGGCUGUGUAAAGGCUAUUUGACCAAGAAGGAGAGUGAUGGAAUGCUGCCUCAGAUUACCUGGCCUCCACAAUCAUCCAACCUCAACCCAGUUGAGAUGGUUUGGGAUGAGUUGUACUGCAGAGUGAAGUAAAAGCAGCCAACAAGUGCUCAGCAUAUGUGGGAAUUCCUUCAAGACUGUUGGAAAAGCAUUUCAGAUGUCGACUGACCGGCUGCAGAUUGGAUUAGAUUCAUGCUAGUGACGCUGUUACAUUAUGCAGUCAACUGUGACAUGUUUUGCUAUGGCUCUGGGUUGUUUUUAGUUUGUUGUUGCCUGUUAGUACACUGUCGAAUCUGUUACGGAAUUUUAAUGUUUGUGCUUUUCUUAUAUCAAAUUUCUGUGUUCUAUUCAUGUGCUGUUCUGUAAACCAAUUUAUGUGUUCAUGCAAGUGGUUGACUGUACAAAUCCUCACAAUCAAUAGCUGCAAUUUGGCAGUACGCCCAGACCAUGUUUUGAGAACGAAUGAAAGAUAUCUCAGUUUCAAGGUUUUAGCUUAGAGAGAAGAAGCCUCAUGAGAUAUUGGUCUGUCACAUGUUAUGAACCAGUAUUGGUCUGUCACAUGAAUGAAACGGUAAUGAUUAAUGAAUUAUACUAAAUCAUGCAAAUAUAACUUGUCUCUGUAUAGCCUUAUAUAACAAAACUGCUUGGACUGCCCAGGCAAAGCUCCUGAUUAGCAUGUGUACUAUGGUGCAUUGAGUUAGUUGGAACCUCUCCAGCGCGCUAACAAAUAAAUAAUGAUUUAUUUAAGAUUGACUUAGAGUGUCC